RNAcentral lists this ribosomal RNA (531 nucleotides) under Bifidobacterium longum. Its description in RNAcentral is "bacterial SSU rRNA". It matches the Rfam family "Bacterial small subunit ribosomal RNA", at positions 163 to 707 of the family's 1533-position model. Lineage: Bacteria; Bacillati; Actinomycetota; Actinomycetes; Bifidobacteriales; Bifidobacteriaceae. The record is from RNAcentral.
GUAAUGCCGGAUGCUCCAGUUGAUCGCAUGGUCUUCUGGGAAAGCUUUCGCGGUAUGGGAUGGGGUCGCGUCCUAUCAGCUUGACGGCGGGGUAACGGCCCACCGUGGCUUCGACGGGUAGCCGGCCUGAGAGGGCGACCGGCCACAUUGGGACUGAGAUACGGCCCAGACUCCUACGGGAGGCAGCAGUGGGGAAUAUUGCACAAUGGGCGCAAGCCUGAUGCAGCGACGCCGCGUGAGGGAUGGAGGCCUUCGGGUUGUAAACCUCUUUUAUCGGGGAGCAAGCGAGAGUGAGUUUACCCGUUGAAUAAGCACCGGCUAACUACGUGCCAGCAGCCGCGGUAAUACGUAGGGUGCAAGCGUUAUCCGGAAUUAUUGGGCGUAAAGGGCUCGUAGGCGGUUCGUCGCGUCCGGUGUGAAAGUCCAUCGCUUAACGGUGGAUCCGCGCCGGGUACGGGCGGGCUUGAGUGCGGUAGGGGAGACUGGAAUUCCCGGUGUAACGGUGGAAUGUGUAGAUAUCGAAGAGAGACC